RNAcentral lists this long non-coding RNA (1186 nucleotides) under Mytilus galloprovincialis (Mediterranean mussel). Lineage: Eukaryota; Metazoa; Mollusca; Bivalvia; Mytilida; Mytilidae. The record is from RNAcentral.
CUAUUUAACGUAUAAAACAGUGAACUGGGGCAAAAUAGUUUAUUAUACUGUAAUACUUUAAGAAAACAAACAUAUUAAACAUGCGUCUUGCAACAGUGUCAAUUGUGUUAUUUGUGUGUAUACUAAUUUCAUCUAUUGAAGGUAUGUAUACAAUUGUAACUUUAUAGUUGUUUUUUACCAAUAUUUUCUUACUUAAUUAUAUAUAUUUUUUUACAAUUUUGAAAGAUAAAGUCACUUAGGAAUACAACUUCAAAUUAAUAUAUCUGUAUAUGUGUACAUGGAGACAUUAAUAGCAACAAUAGCAAACAUUUCGUACAUAUCUUUUUAUUAGACAGGCGGUUUACGACAAACGUGACCUUGGAAAGUUAUCACUAGACAAGUUGUUAGUUAAAGCAGUAAUCCAUUACUUUUGGUUAAAGUUUCAGAUGAUUCAUUUGAUAUAUAUAUAUCAAUAGAAUAAAACAUAAUAGAUAUAGUAUGAUGUUAAAUUCCAGCCUUCAGCUCCAGUUUAGUAUACAUUUAUUACAUUAAAACAUAAUAACUUAAUAUAUUAUGAAUAUUGUAUUUCAGCCUUCAGCUUCAGAAGAUAUACGAGAAAUUAUCUGAACAGAGGAUGUCCUAUUCAGAGAUGUUCAAAGGUCCUAAUCCCAUCAAGAUGUAAAAUGCCAUCGUUUUAUUAUUACGAAGGACGAAGAUGCCGGGGCUGCUAUAAAAACAUUUGUCCAGAUGUUGAGCCCAGCUAUUAUCCAUACACAAAAUUUUACUGGGGAUGAUUAGGAACGUAAGAUGAAGAUUAUCUGUCAACCUGAAAUCUAUUCUGCCUCAAUAUCAAAGUGGAAAUUGUUCCUAUUAGCUAUAUUAUGGCAAACCAUUAUAGUGCUUUUAUUUACCAAAAUUACAGAAAUUAGUCAAACGCACAAAUAUUUCGUGAAGAACUGGACAGUGAUAUGUAUAAUCAACCGAUACACUUAUAAUUUUGUUAUGAAUGUCUUACAUUAACUGUGACUUGAAGUAGUUGUUUUCUGAAAUUGAUGUAAGAUUCAGUCUUUAAUUUGUGUUCUCUGUUAAAAGAAGAAAUCCAGACAGCAGUAGUAUAGAAGAUGUCUAGACUGCUUUUGCUUUUAUUUAUAAUUAUGCAUGCUUGUUAUAUUUGUAUUGAAUUAGUUAAUUAAAAAUGUAUUGAAAG